This 2902-nucleotide ribosomal RNA is filed under the name Escherichia coli KTE234. RNAcentral describes it as "bacterial LSU rRNA". It matches the Rfam family "Bacterial large subunit ribosomal RNA". Lineage: Bacteria; Pseudomonadati; Pseudomonadota; Gammaproteobacteria; Enterobacterales; Enterobacteriaceae. The record is from RNAcentral.
UUAAGCGACUAAGCGUACACGGUGGAUGCCCUGGCAGUCAGAGGCGAUGAAGGACGUGCUAAUCUGCGAUAAGCGUCGGUAAGGUGAUAUGAACCGUUAUAACCGGCGAUUUCCGAAUGGGGAAACCCAGUGUGUUUCGACACACUAUCAUUAACUGAAUCCAUAGGUUAAUGAGGCGAACCGGGGGAACUGAAACAUCUAAGUACCCCGAGGAAAAGAAAUCAACCGAGAUUCCCCCAGUAGCGGCGAGCGAACGGGGAGCAGCCCAGAGCCUGAAUCAGUGUGUGUGUUAGUGGAAGCGUCUGGAAAGGCGCGCGAUACAGGGUGACAGCCCCGUACACAAAAAUGCACAUACUGUGAGCUCGAUGAGUAGGGCGGGACACGUGGUAUCCUGUCUGAAUAUGGGGGGACCAUCCUCCAAGGCUAAAUACUCCUGACUGACCGAUAGUGAACCAGUACCGUGAGGGAAAGGCGAAAAGAACCCCGGCGAGGGGAGUGAAAAAGAACCUGAAACCGUGUACGUACAAGCAGUGGGAGCCUCUUUUAUGGGGUGACUGCGUACCUUUUGUAUAAUGGGUCAGCGACUUAUAUUCUGUAGCAAGGUUAACCGAAUAGGGGAGCCGAAGGGAAACCGAGUCUUAACUGGGCGUUAAGUUGCAGGGUAUAGACCCGAAACCCGGUGAUCUAGCCAUGGGCAGGUUGAAGGUUGGGUAACACUAACUGGAGGACCGAACCGACUAAUGUUGAAAAAUUAGCGGAUGACUUGUGGCUGGGGGUGAAAGGCCAAUCAAACCGGGAGAUAGCUGGUUCUCCCCGAAAGCUAUUUAGGUAGCGCCUCGUGAAUUCAUCUCCGGGGGUAGAGCACUGUUUCGGCAAGGGGGUCAUCCCGACUUACCAACCCGAUGCAAACUGCGAAUACCGGAGAAUGUUAUCACGGGAGACACACGGCGGGUGCUAACGUCCGUCGUGAAGAGGGAAACAACCCAGACCGCCAGCUAAGGUCCCAAAGUCAUGGUUAAGUGGGAAACGAUGUGGGAAGGCCCAGACAGCCAGGAUGUUGGCUUAGAAGCAGCCAUCAUUUAAAGAAAGCGUAAUAGCUCACUGGUCGAGUCGGCCUGCGCGGAAGAUGUAACGGGGCUAAACCAUGCACCGAAGCUGCGGCAGCGACGCUUAUGCGUUGUUGGGUAGGGGAGCGUUCUGUAAGCCUGUGAAGGUGUGCUGUGAGGCAUGCUGGAGGUAUCAGAAGUGCGAAUGCUGACAUAAGUAACGAUAAAGCGGGUGAAAAGCCCGCUCGCCGGAAGACCAAGGGUUCCUGUCCAACGUUAAUCGGGGCAGGGUGAGUCGACCCCUAAGGCGAGGCCGAAAGGCGUAGUCGAUGGGAAACAGGUUAAUAUUCCUGUACUUGGUGUUACUGCGAAGGGGGGACGAAGAAGGCUAUGUUGGCCGGGCGACGGUUGUCCCGGUUUAAGCGUGUAGGCUGGUUUUCCAGGCAAAUCCGGAAAAUCAAGGCUGAGGCGUGAUGACGAGGCACUACGGUGCUGAAGCAACAAAUGCCCUGCUUCCAGGAAAAGCCUCUAAGCAUCAGGUAACAUCAAAUCGUACCCCAAACCGACACAGGUGGUCAGGUAGAGAAUACCAAGGCGCUUGAGAGAACUCGGGUGAAGGAACUAGGCAAAAUGGUGCCGUAACUUCGGGAGAAGGCACGCUGAUAUGUAGGUGAAGUCCCUCGCGGAUGGAGCUGAAAUCAGUCGAAGAUACCAGCUGGCUGCAACUGUUUAUUAAAAACACAGCACUGUGCAAACACGAAAGUGGACGAAUACGGUGUGACGCCUGCCCGGUGCCGGAAGGUUAAUUGAUGGGGUCAGCGCAAGCGAAGCUCUUGAUCGAAGCCCCGGUAAACGGCGGCCGUAACUAUAACGGUCCUAAGGUAGCGAAAUUCCUUGUCGGGUAAGUUCCGACCUGCACGAAUGGCGUAAUGAUGGCCAGGCUGUCUCCACCCGAGACUCAGUGAAAUUGAACUCGCUGUGAAGAUGCAGUGUACCCGCGGAAAGACGGAAAGACCCCGUGAACCUUUACUAUAGCUUGACACUGAACAUUGAGCCUUGAUGUGUAGGAUAGGUGGGAGGCUUUGAAGUGUGGACGCCAGUCUGCAUGGAGCCGACCUUGAAAUACCACCCUUUAAUGUUUGAUGUUCUAACGUGGACCCGUAAUCCGGGUUGCGGACAGUGUCUGGUGGGUAGUUUGACUGGGGCGGUCUCCUCCUAAAGAGUAACGGAGGAGCACGAAGGUUGGCUAAUCCUGGUCGGACAUCAGGAGGUUAGUGCAAUGGCAUAAGCCAGCUUGACUGCGAGCGUGACGGCGCGAGCAGGUGCGAAAGCAGGUCAUAGUGAUCCGGUGGUUCUGAAUGGAAGGGCCAUCGCUCAACGGAUAAAAGGUACUCCGGGGAUAACAGGCUGAUACCGCCCAAGAGUUCAUAUCGACGGCGGUGUUUGGCACCUCGAUGUCGGCUCAUCACAUCCUGGGGCUGAAGUAGGUCCCAAGGGUAUGGCUGUUCGCCAUUUAAAGUGGUACGCGAGCUGGGUUUAGAACGUCGUGAGACAGUUCGGUCCCUAUCUGCCGUGGGCGCUGGAGAACUGAGGGGGGCUGCUCCUAGUACGAGAGGACCGGAGUGGACGCAUCACUGGUGUUCGGGUUGUCAUGCCAAUGGCACUGCCCGGUAGCUAAAUGCGGAAGAGAUAAGUGCUGAAAGCAUCUAAGCACGAAACUUGCCCCGAGAUGAGUUCUCCCUGACCCCUUAAGAGUCCUGAAGGAACGUUGAAGACGACGACGUUGAUAGGCCGGGUGUGUAAGCGCAGCGAUGCGUUGAGCUAACCGGUACUAAUGAACCGUGAGGCUUAACCUU